Molecule: ribosomal RNA, 429 nt
Filed under: Bacteroidota bacterium
Lineage: Bacteria; Pseudomonadati; Bacteroidota
Description: Bacteroidetes bacterium partial 16S ribosomal RNA
Rfam family: Bacterial small subunit ribosomal RNA
Source: RNAcentral
UAGGGAAUCUUCCGCAAUGGACGCAAGUCUGACGGAGCAACGCCGCGUGAGUGAAGAAGGAUUUCGGUUCGUAAAACUCUGUUGUUAGAGAAGAACAGCGCAUAGAGUAACUGUUAUGCGUGUGACGGUAUCUAACCAGAAAGCCACGGCUAACUACGUGCCAGCAGCCGCGGUAAUACGUAGGUGGCAAGCGUUGUCCGGAUUUAUUGGGCGUAAAGCGAGCGCAGGCGGUCAAUUAAGUCUGAUGUGAAAGCCCCCGGCUCAACCGGGGAGGGUCAUUGGAAACUGGUUGACUUGAGUGCAGAAGAGGAGAGUGGAAUUCCAUGUGUAGCGGUGAAAUGCGUAGAUAUAUGGAGGAACACCAGUGGCGAAGGCGACUCUCUGGUCUGUAACUGACGCGGGGGUUCGAAAGCGUGGGUAGCAAACAGG